This 68-nucleotide transfer RNA is filed under the name Sphenomorphus indicus. RNAcentral's name for it is "tRNA-Glu". It matches the Rfam family "tRNA". Rfam says of the family: Transfer RNA (tRNA) molecules are approximately 80 nucleotides in length. Their secondary structure includes four short double-helical elements and three loops (D, anti-codon, and T loops). Lineage: Eukaryota; Metazoa; Chordata; Lepidosauria; Squamata; Scincidae. The record is from RNAcentral. RNAcentral also lists the same sequence under 1 other name.
GUUUUUAUAGUUGAAAACAACAGUGGUUUUUCGUAUCACAGGUCUUGGUUUUAGUCCGAGUAAAAACG